GAUGAAGAACGUAGCGAAAUGCGAUAAGUAAUGUGAAUUGCAGAAUUCAGUGAAUCAUCGAAUCUUUGAACGCACCUUGCACCCUUUGGCAUUCCGAAGGGUAUGCUCGUUUGAGUGUCAUUGUACUCUCACUCUCACGAUCUUUGGAUCGGGAGUGGUGGACUUGGGUGUUGCUGCUUUACCGUGGCUCACCUCAAAUGGAUUCGUGCAACUCCUGGUUGGACAUAGUACGGCGUGAUAAGUGUCUUCGCCGGCACCUCACUAGAGGGUGGCUGACCGGGAGCUCUGUGCUUCAAACCGUCUUCGGACAACAACUGACAACUUGACCUCAAAUCGAGUAGGACCACCCGCUGAACUUAAGCAUAUCAAUAAGCGGAGGA
This 380-nucleotide unclassified non-coding RNA is filed under the name soil metagenome. Its description in RNAcentral is "partial contains 5.8S ribosomal RNA, internal transcribed spacer 2, and large subunit ribosomal RNA". The stretch from base 1 to 120 matches the Rfam family "5.8S ribosomal RNA", at positions 35 to 154 of the family's 154-position model. The record is from RNAcentral.